Molecule: long non-coding RNA, 807 nt
Filed under: Canis lupus familiaris (dog)
Lineage: Eukaryota; Metazoa; Chordata; Mammalia; Carnivora; Canidae
Description: lncRNA (ENSCAFG00040009698.1)
Source: RNAcentral
GUCCGGCAUCGGGCUCUCCGCAGGGAGCCUGCUUCUCCUUCUGCCUGGGUCUCAGCCUCUCUCUGUGUGUCUCAUGAAUUAAAAAAAAACAAAAACAACAACAACAACAAAAAAAAAACAAAGCCCAGUCUGCUCUGUAUAUUUAAGUUGUUGUUUGGAAAUUCAAAUAUUGUAACAGCCUGCUCUUGAUUUUGCUGUGAGUAGGGACCCUGGCUAGUCUUUUUUCUUCUUCUUCCUCCUCCUCCUCCUCCCCUUCCUCCUCCCCUUCCUCCUCCUCCUCCUCCUCCUUCUUCUUCUUCUUCUUUCUCCUCUUCUUUCUUUUUCUUUUUCUUCUUUUUGUUUUGUUUUUUCUUCCAAACCAUGAGCUUCGGGACUCCGUUGUCUUGGGCUGGAGUUUUGUGCUCCUGUCGUGAGCUGCGUUCCCUCCGCCUCCGCCAGGCUGGCUGGCAUCUGCAGGCGGCUGUGCCCAGGGCCGUGUCCCAGCGCCCCAGUGGCCUCUGCCCUCCCCCGUCCCAUGCUUGCAGCCUCCUGGCUGCUCUCCCACGGUUUCCCCGCAGAUGCACUGCAAAGACAGUGGUGUGGAGCCCGGCCAGGGCAGGAGCUGAGAGGUGUAGGGGCGCCCCCAGCGCAGGGCUGCUUGUCUGUCCUCUGCAGGUCACCCGGGCAGGGCGACCUUGGACGAGUCCCUGGGUGACAGAUCACCGUGGGAGGAAGAGCUCCUGGGCCAGAUCAGGGCCAUGUCAGACUCGCAGAGGAGCAGAGUGCUGGAGGCGAUCCAGCACCGCAUCGAGGAGCACACCCAGGUAG